Molecule: ribosomal RNA, 1460 nt
Filed under: metagenome
Description: bacterial SSU rRNA
Rfam family: Bacterial small subunit ribosomal RNA
Source: RNAcentral
AGAGUUUGAUCCUGGCUCAGGAUGAACGCUGGUGGCGUGCCUAACACAUGCAAGUCGAGCGAGGGAGAAAUCCCUAGCGGCGGACGGGUGAGUAACGCGUGGAUAACCUGCCUUAAACAGGGGGAUAACACCGGGAAACCGGUGCUAAUACCGCAUAAAACUAAUUCUAGGCAUCUGGGAAUAGUCAAAGGAGCAAUCCGGUAUUAAAUGGAUCCGCGUCCGAUUAGCUAGUUGGUGGGGUAAAAGCUCACCAAGGCGACGAUCGGUAGCCGAACUGAGAGGUUGAACGGCCACAUUGGGACUGAGAUACGGCCCAGACUCCUACGGGAGGCAGCAGUGGGGAAUAUUGCGCAAUGGGGGAAACCCUGACGCAGCAACGCCACGUGAAGGAUGAAGGCUUUCGGGUUGUAAACUUCUUUGAUUGGGGAAGAGAAAGGACAGUACCCAAAAACAAGCCACGGCUAACUACGUGCCAGCAGCCGCGGUAAUACGUAGGUGGCAAGCGUUGUCCGGAAUUACUGGGUGUAAAGGGCGUGUAGGCGGGAAUGUAAGUCAGAUGUGAAAUACCGUAGCUCAACUACGGGGCUGCAACUGAAACUAUAUUUCUUGAGUGCUGGAGAGGAAAGUGGAAUUCCUAGUGUAGCGGUGAAAUGCGUAGAUAUUAGGAGGAACACCAGUGGCGAAGGCGGCUUUCUGGACAGUAACUGACGCUGAGGCGCGAGAGCGUGGGGAGCAAACAGGAUUAGAUACCCUGGUAGUCCACGCUGUAAACGAUGGAUACUAGGUGUAGGAGGUAUCGAUUCCUUCUGUGCCGGAGUCAACACAAUAAGUAUCCCACCUGGGGAGUACGGCCGCAAGGUUGAAACUCAAAGGAAUUGACGGGGGCCCGCACAAGCAGUGGAGUAUGUGGUUUAAUUCGAAGCAACGCGAAGAACCUUACCAAGACUUGACAUACUAGUGAAUAAUGUAGAAAUAUAUUAGACCUUCGGGACACUAGAACAGGUGGUGCAUGGUUGUCGUCAGCUCGUGUCGUGAGAUGUUGGGUUAAGUCCCGCAACGAGCGCAACCCUUAUUGUUAGUUGCCAUCAUUAAGUUGGGCACUCUAACGAGACUGCCGGUGACAAAUCGGAGGAAGGUGGGGAUGACGUCAAAUCAUCAUGCCCCUUAUGUCUUGGGCUACACACGUACUACAAUGGCUACAACAGAGGGAAACAAUACUGUGAAGUGGAGUAAAUCCCAAAAAGUAGCCUCAGUUCAGAUUGUAGGCUGAAACCCGCCCACAUGAAGGAGGAAUUGCUAGUAAUGGCAGGUCAGCAUACUGCCGUGAAUACGUUCCCGGGCCUUGUACACACCGCCCGUCACACCAUGAGAGUUGAGACCACCCGAAGUCAGUAGUUUAACCGAAAGGGGGACGCUGCCGAAGGUGAGAUCGAUGAUUGGGGUGAAGUCGAAACAAGGUA